UACGUAGGGGGCAAGCGUUGUCCGGAUUUAUUGGGCGUAAAGAGCGUGUAGGCGGCCGCACAGGUCCGUUGUGAAAACUGGAGGCUUAACCUUCAGACGUCGAUGGAAACCGUGCGGCUAGAGUCCGGAAGAGGAGAAUGGAAUUCCUGGUGUAGCGGUGAAAUGCGCAGAUAUCGGGAAGAACACCCGUGGCGAAGGCGGUUCUCUGGGACGGUACUGACGCUGAGACGCGAAAGCGUGGGGAGCGAACAGG
This 253-nucleotide ribosomal RNA is filed under the name uncultured bacterium. RNAcentral describes it as "partial 16S ribosomal RNA". It matches the Rfam family "Bacterial small subunit ribosomal RNA", at positions 524 to 776 of the family's 1533-position model. The record is from RNAcentral.